CUAGAAAUAAAAAAGAGAGAAACCAUUUCCUUUGUACCUCUGCCCAGAUUUUUGUACCCAUUCCAGCGUCCCUCCCUCGUUCUGCUCCCUCCAUAUUGUACAGAAUCAAAGAGUUCGUCCGAUGCCAUCCUUCCGUCCACGCGGCAAAGAUCUUUUUCAGGUGAAGACCUUUGUUUUCAGCCUGCUCCCCUCCCACCUCCCUCACUCCCACACGAAUCCGAGCUGCCAUAGUGAACCAAAAUUAUGCGUGUAAACUUUAUUCUCCGGCACCCUGCUAAUAUGCAUCUUCAAUUCUGUACAUAUCCCGGUGAUAGUCUUUCGGUGGUGGGCUGCCCUUAUUGGAGAGUGGCUCCUCCCUCUAACAUCAUGAGCCCAACAGCGAAAUGGUGCUGCUGGUGGAGGUGGAAACGGUGGCCUCCUCUCAAAUCCUUUCCUUUCAUUAAAGAAGGCAUUCCUUCCUCCAUCGGUACCCAUCCCUCCCCCAUCCUUCCAUCCCUGCGGCGGACAAUUUCCAAACACUCCAGAUAUCACGCAAUCAAACAGAGUAUUCAAACAAAUCCUCAUCGAACUUCCGAACACUUCCAAUUCAAACAACUUCUAAUUAAGAAUUGAUCGUCAAGCGGGAAGGAGUUAGAUUUGGGAAGUUUUUAUUUUUUAAAUAUUUUAUAUGGGCCAUUAAAAAAAUAGCAUGUGGCAUCGGUCAAAUUUCGGUUGAAUCUCUCGGUCCUUCUAGCAUUGUCCUUGCAUUGAUGGCCGCUGCUGUGCUAGCAGUAGUUCAAACAUCAAUUUUCAUUAAAAGGGUCUGUCGUGUAACAAAGGCCAAAAACAGACACUACAGCCUGAAAGAUGAUAUGUUUCUCGUCAAUAAAAAAUGGGUGAAAUCACUUCAAACAA
Molecule: long non-coding RNA, 894 nt
Organism: Carya illinoinensis
Lineage: Eukaryota; Viridiplantae; Streptophyta; Magnoliopsida; Fagales; Juglandaceae
Exons: 2
Source: RefSeq, a predicted model, not a curated record